This 727-nucleotide ribosomal RNA is filed under the name Albibacillus kandeliae. Its description in RNAcentral is "bacterial SSU rRNA". It matches the Rfam family "Bacterial small subunit ribosomal RNA", at positions 63 to 837 of the family's 1533-position model. Lineage: Bacteria; Pseudomonadati; Pseudomonadota; Alphaproteobacteria; Rhodobacterales; Paracoccaceae. The record is from RNAcentral.
CGAGCGCUCUCUUCGGAGGGAGCGGCGAACGGGUUAGUAACGCGUGGGAACGUGCCCUUUUCUACGGAAUAGCCUCGGGAAACUGAGAGUAAUACCGUAUACGCCCUUUGGGGGAAAGAUUUAUCGGAGAAGGAUCGGCCCGCGUUGGAUUAGGUAGUUGGUGGGGUAAUGGCCUACCAAGCCGACGAUCCAUAGCUGGUUUGAGAGGAUGAUCAGCAACACUGGGACUGAGACACGGCCCAGACUCCUACGGGAGGCAGCAGUGGGGAAUCUUAGACAAUGGGCGCAAGCCUGAUCUAGCCAUGCCGCGUGAGUGAAGAAGGCCCUAGGGUCGUAAAGCUCUUUCGCCAGGGAUGAUAAUGACAGUACCUGGUAAAGAAACCCCGGCUAACUCCGUGCCAGCAGCCGCGGUAAUACGGAGGGGGUUAGCGUUGUUCGGAAUUACUGGGCGUAAAGCGCGCGUAGGCGGACUGGAAAGUUGGGGGUGAAAUCCCAGGGCUCAACCCUGGAACUGCCUCCAAAACUAUCAGUCUAGAGUUCGAGAGAGGUGAGUGGAAUUCCGAGUGUAGAGGUGAAAUUCGUAGAUAUUCGGAGGAACACCAGUGGCGAAGGCGGCUCACUGGCUCGAUACUGACGCUGAGGUGCGAAAGUGUGGGGAGCAAACAGGAUUAGAUACCCUGGUAGUCCACACCGUAAACGAUGAAUGCCAGUCGUCGGGCAGUAUACU